This 253-nucleotide ribosomal RNA is filed under the name uncultured bacterium. RNAcentral's name for it is "partial 16S ribosomal RNA". It matches the Rfam family "Bacterial small subunit ribosomal RNA", at positions 524 to 776 of the family's 1533-position model. The record is from RNAcentral.
UACAGAGGUCUCAAGCGUUGUUCGGAUUCAUUGGGCGUAAAGGGUGCGUAGGUGGCGGGGUAAGUCAGGUGUGAAGUUUCGGAGCUUAACUCCGAAACUGCAUUUGAUACUGCCUUGCUUGAGGACUGGAGAGGAGACUGGAAUUCACGGUGUAGCAGUGAAAUGCGUAGAUAUCGUGAGGAAGACCAGUGGCGAAGGCGGGUCUCUGGACAGUUCCUGACACUGAGGCACGAAGGCCAGGGGAGCAAACGGG